AGUGAACGCUGGCGGUAGGCCUAACACAUGCAAGUCGAACGGCAGCACAGUAAGAGCUUGCUCUUACGGGUGGCGAGUGGCGGACGGGUGAGGAAUACAUCGGAAUCUACUUUUUCGUGGGGGAUAACGUAGGGAAACUUACGCUAAUACCGCAUACGACCUCCGGGUGAAAGCAGGGGAUCUUCGGACCUUGCGCGAUUGAAUGAGCCGAUGUCGGAUGAGCUAGUUGGCGGGGUAAAGGCCCACCAAGGCGACGAUCCGUCGCGGGUCUGAGAGGAUGAUCAGCCACACUGGAACUGAGACACGGUACAGACUCCUACGGGAGGCAGCAGUGGGGAAUAUUGGACGAUGGGCGCGAGCCUGAUCCAGCCAUACCGCGUGGGUGAAGAAGGCCUUCGGGUUGUAAAGCCCUUUUGUUGGGAAAGAAAAGCAGCAGGUUAAUACCCCGCUGUUCUGACGGUACCCAAAGAAUAAGCACCGGCUAACUUCGUG
This 492-nucleotide ribosomal RNA is filed under the name uncultured bacterium. Its description in RNAcentral is "partial 16S ribosomal RNA". It matches the Rfam family "Bacterial small subunit ribosomal RNA", at positions 29 to 507 of the family's 1533-position model. The record is from RNAcentral.